GGUCAGUGAUGAGUAAGUAAAAGGUCUGAUUACCCACAAUCCUCUCCUGCUGCCCUCUGGCUCCCAGCAGCCCCUGCUCUCUGCUCCCAUCAUGCUCUAGUGGUGCAGUGGUGGUCACAGGAGCUGCUGACAGACAGGAUGUGACAUCACACUGUGCUGAGUCUGUACAGAGCUCCUACAGACUCUGUGAUGAUGACUGACAUCCAACAGAACCAAUCAGCACGGAGCGUCAGGCUGAGGAGGAGGAGGGAGCUGAUCUCAAGUUUUCAAGCUGAGACC
Molecule: non-coding RNA, 279 nt
Organism: Scatophagus argus
Lineage: Eukaryota; Metazoa; Chordata; Actinopteri; Scatophagidae
Product: small Cajal body-specific RNA 6
Exons: 1
Source: RefSeq, a predicted model, not a curated record